Non-coding RNA from Taeniopygia guttata (zebra finch), 1057 nucleotides. Lineage: Eukaryota; Metazoa; Chordata; Aves; Passeriformes; Estrildidae. The record is from RefSeq and is a predicted model, not a curated record.
CUGAGGCGGGGCGGCGCCGGCGGGGGCCUCCUUACGCCGCCUCCGUAGCGCCCCGCCCCCGCCGGCCUGCGCAUGGCGUAAACCUCUUCGGGAAUCCUGGCGCGCCGUUCCUCUUGCGCAACCUGCGUGCGGCCCGGACGUGGUGUUGCGUCACCUGCGUAAAUCGGUAUGAGAAUAGCGCUCCCUCUGCGAAACUUGCGUGCGGCCCGGCAAUGCCGUUACGUUACCUGCGUAACUCGGCCCAAGAAUAGCGUAGGCGGCAGCGGGCGGCGCGUCGUGAGGGGACAUGGCGGGACAGAGGCUCCCUCACGGCUCCCUCACGGCACCCUCACGGCUCCCUCACGGCACCGCCGGGCCGAGCCCUCCGGGAACGGGCCGAGCCGAGGCAACCGGGCCCCCAGGCAGCCGGGAUGAGCCUGCGGUGAGAAGUGCCCCGGUGCUGCGGCCUUCAGUAGCGCUGAGCUGAUGUCUGGCAUCGUACCUGCACCGUCCUAUAGAGCAAAAGCAACAGAGCAGAUGUCCUGAGCUGGCCCGAGGAAGCCCAGGCAGACACACCAAUACAACCAUCAGCACACAGCUCAGUCCUUGAAAGGUCCUGCCGAUGUCGCUGACAUUCCAGCUGGCUGAGAUGUUUGGCUCUGCUGGGAGACCCCUCCAUCCUCUUCCUGGUCAGGAAAGGGACACAACUGGGCCCUGGAAGACUGACUGGGUGGAGGGUGAAGGUGCUGAGAGUGGAGCUGUUCUGCGUUUGAGAGUAAAUGUGGAUGAACAUCCCUUACCCCUUGCUGAUGGAGCACUGUGGUGUCCGUGCCUGCCCUUCAUACCAAAUGGCAUUUGCAGGAGAUGAAACAUCCUCCUGCUUGCAGCCCAGGGAAGAGGCUGGAGCUGGGCCGCUUUCUCCACAACUGUAGAACUACAGUGAAAUGAGGAUUCGUUGUUUAUGUUUCAUUGGCUUCUCUGAGGAAAACAGUGACCACGAGAUGAGACAGAGCCUUGGGGUGAGUGCAGGUCCCACCGCCAGUUCUGCCAGCUCCUUCAGCUGGGUCUGGUGCCCUCC